CACAUCCCUUCUGGAAUAUGCAAGCACUCCAACAGCAACUAACACCACCGCCAGAAUGGUCAGAAGGACGGAGAACUGAAAGGAGAAGAUAAGCACACAAGUCCCCUCAGCCUCCCGCCCUUGUGCUACGUAACAGUUCAGGAAUGCCUCUGAACUUUCCUACAAGGACACUGAGAUGAGACUAUGAGAUAAAACUGGAAAAUACCAUUAAACAGGAAAUCAGGAAAAACACUGAAGCAUUGAGCAUUUGAUUGUGAGACAUAUUUGAACCCCACUGUUUAUAGUUUAAUGAAUUAAUUAAUAGUUAACUAUACCCACAUUGUUGGGGAUAUAGUGUUGCACACCAGACUCUGUAUUUGUGCAUGAAAAGAGCAUAAAUCUUUUCACUUGCAGAAAGGAGGAUGAAUGAAAAGGAGAUUGCCAAAUCAAGACGAAGGCCAAAAGUGCAGUUCACCCGAGGCAGAUCUAUGAGUAAUCAAAGGAUCUUUUUUACAUUUCCCGUUCCCCCCUCGCAUUCAUUAGUUUCCCACCACUGUGCUGUGGGGGUUUCUCAACAUGAAACUUAAGACAGUUUCAAUACUUUGUGGUUACAAUUCUGGAGAAAAUAUGUCUGCUAGUUUAGGGCUGGGCCAAAACCUUCUAUCCUGAUCAUCCUUUCAUAUCUCAAUAACGAUAUAUAUAUCACGAUAUGGCAUGUUUUCUGGUAGUUCAAUAAAUGAAUAGUCUAUAUGAAAUAACCAAAUAA
Long non-coding RNA from Sebastes umbrosus (honeycomb rockfish), 745 nucleotides. RefSeq lists it as uncharacterized. The record is from RefSeq and is a predicted model, not a curated record. NCBI's taxonomy places the organism in Eukaryota, Metazoa, Chordata, Actinopteri, Perciformes, Sebastidae. The transcript is spliced from 2 exons.